AGCGAACGCUGGCGGCGUGCCUAACACAUGCAAGUCGAACGUGAAAGGGAGCACUCCCAAGUAAAGUGGCGUACGGGUGAGUAACACGUAGGUAAUCUACCCCAGAAUCUGGAAUAACCGGCCGAAAGGCUGGCUAAUACUGGAUAGAGCGACGGAAUCCGUAAUUGGGUUUUUCGGGAAAGGGAGCCUGUAAAAAGGCCUUCGUUCUGGGAUGAGCCUGCGUCCCAUCAGCUAGUUGGUGAGGUAAAAGCUUACCAAGGCAAUGACGUGUAGCUGGUCUGAGAGGACGAUCAGCCACACUGGAACUGAAACACGGUCCAGACUCCUACGGGAGGCAGCAGUGGGGAAUCUUGCGCAAUGGACGAAAGUCUGACGCAGCAACGCCGCGUGAGGGAAGAAGGCCUUCGGGUUGGAAAGCUCUGUCGAGUGGGACGAAAAUGCUUGGAGUUCACAGCUCCAGGAACUGACGGUACCACUAAAGGAAGCACCGGCUAACUCCGUG
RNAcentral lists this ribosomal RNA (502 nucleotides) under uncultured bacterium. RNAcentral describes it as "partial 16S ribosomal RNA". It matches the Rfam family "Bacterial small subunit ribosomal RNA", at positions 29 to 507 of the family's 1533-position model. The record is from RNAcentral.